AUCUUUUUAAAGGAGACUCGACUCACAUUCGUUCGCUGAGUAAAUUCAACUAUCCAAAUUGAAGAUUUGGAGUUUCAUUUACGUCGACGAGGUUGGGGAGUAUCGAAACUUCGGCGGGUGCCCCACGGUAUCGCACUACCGUAAACGACUGGUAAAACUGUGAAGUGAUUCACAGGACAAAUUCAGUCUGGUGUUAAA
Molecule: non-coding RNA, 198 nt
Filed under: Clostridium beijerinckii
Lineage: Bacteria; Bacillati; Bacillota; Clostridia; Eubacteriales; Clostridiaceae
Description: glmS
Rfam family: glmS glucosamine-6-phosphate activated ribozyme aptamer (bases 52-198)
About the family: This entry contains a glucosamine-6-phosphate activated ribozyme that is found in the mRNA for GlmS.
Source: RNAcentral